RNAcentral lists this ribosomal RNA (389 nucleotides) under uncultured bacterium. RNAcentral describes it as "bacterial SSU rRNA". It matches the Rfam family "Bacterial small subunit ribosomal RNA", at positions 28 to 407 of the family's 1533-position model. The record is from RNAcentral.
GACGAACGCUGGCGGCGUGCCUAACACAUGCAAGUCGAGCGGGAACCUCAGGAGGGGUAACCCUUCUGAGGGGAGAGCGGCGAACGGGUGAGUAACACGUGGGCAACCUGCCCCGGACACCGGGAUAACCCAGGGAAACCUGAGCUAAUACCGGAUACUCCGGCGCGAUCGCAUGGUCGUGCCGGGAAAGCUCCGACGGUCCGGGAUGGGCCCGCGGCCUAUCAGCUUGUUGGUGGGGUAACGGCCCACCAAGGCGACGACGGGUAGCUGGUCUGAGAGGACGGCCAGCCACACUGGGACUGAGACACGGCCCAGACUCCUACGGGAGGCAGCAGUGGGGGAUCUUGCGCUAAUGCGCGAAAGCGUGACGCAGCGACGCCGCGUGGGGA